CACAUCCUCCUCCGGCAGCUCUGCCUGGAGCCCGGCCACCCCGGGCAGCACACACGCCCUUCCUCCUCCCAACGUCUGCUGACGAACACGGGCUCUCAACACAUCAAAACCAGCCUAAUUUUAAAUGACAGUGUCAUCUUUAUUUUUAAAAUAACUGUAACACAGCCGUGCCUGCCGCUCCUCCUCUGUGAAAGAGGCUUGACACCGCCCGGGUGCUCCAAACAAGGGUGGUGGCUUCGUGCCAGGACUGGCUCAGCCACCACUGCCUGCAGCUUUAAGGACUGGGACAUCCCUGAUACAGGACCUGAAAUUCCACAACACUCACGACCUCCCUGGGAAACCCUCAGCCCUGCCUGUACCCACCCCAGGGGCUGCCAGCACUCCCCACCACCAUUUCCACCAUCCAACAAACACUGUCCUGCUCCUGACCCAGCAGAGCCCAGCUCCACACACGGAUCUGCCAGGAAUGACAACAGAAAUAAAAUUAUCAAAACAACAGAGUCCAAAGACCUUCUGGGGCUGCAGCUGGGAGAAGAAAAACCCCAGGGUGAGGGAUGGUGGUGGGGCUGCAGCAGGACAGUAAAUCACUGCUUAAAACCAAAUGUAAGACCCAAUAAAGGA
Serinus canaria (Common canary) is the source of this 621-nucleotide long non-coding RNA. RefSeq lists it as uncharacterized. The transcript is spliced from 3 exons. Lineage: Eukaryota; Metazoa; Chordata; Aves; Passeriformes; Fringillidae. The record is from RefSeq and is a predicted model, not a curated record.